CUACGGGGGGCAGCAGUGGGGAAUAUUGCACAAUGGAGGAAACUCUGAUGCAGCAACGCCGCGUGGAGGAUGACACUUUUCGGAGCGUAAACUCCUUUUAUAUGGGAAGAAGAUGACGGUACUAUAUGAAUAAGCGCCGGCUAACUCCGUGCCAGCAGCCGCGGUAAUACGGAGGGCGCAAGCGUUACUCGGAAUCACUGGGCGUAAAGAGCGUGUAGGCGGAUUAAAAAGUCAGAAGUGAAAUCCUAUAGCUUAACUAUAGAACUGCUUCUGAAACUCUUAAUCUAGAAUGUGGGAGAGGUAGAUGGAAUUUCUGGUGUAGGGGUAAAAUCCGUAGAGAUCAGAAGGAAUACCGAUUGCGAAGGCGAUCUACUAGAACAUUAUUGACGCUGAGACGCGAAAGCGUGGGGAGCAAACAGGAUUAGAUACCCCCGUAGUC
RNAcentral lists this ribosomal RNA (439 nucleotides) under uncultured bacterium. RNAcentral's name for it is "partial 16S ribosomal RNA". It matches the Rfam family "Bacterial small subunit ribosomal RNA", at positions 339 to 795 of the family's 1533-position model. The record is from RNAcentral.